Molecule: ribosomal RNA, 492 nt
Filed under: uncultured bacterium
Lineage: Bacteria
Description: partial 16S ribosomal RNA
Rfam family: Bacterial small subunit ribosomal RNA
Source: RNAcentral
AUUGAACGCUGGCGGCAUGCUUUACACAUGCAAGUCGAACGGUAACAGGCCUUCGGGUGCUGACGAGUGGCGAACGGGUGAGUAAUGCAUCGGAACGUACCCAGAGGUGGGGGAUAACGCAGCGAAAGCUGUGCUAAUACCGCAUGUGAUCUGAGGAUGAAAGCGGGGGACCGAGCAGCAAUGUUUGGCCUCGCGCCUUUGUAGCGGCCGAUGUCGGAUUAGCUAGUUGGUGGGGUAAAGGCCUACCAAGGCGACGAUCCGUAGCUGGUCUGAGAGGACGACCAGCCACACUGGGACUGAGACACGGCCCAGACUCCUACGGGAGGCAGCAGUGGGGAAUUUUGGACAAAGGGCGCAAGCCUGAUCCAGCAAUGCCGCGUGCGGGAAGAAGGCCUUCGGGUUGUAAACCGCUUUUGGCAGGAACGAAACGGUGUCCGCUAAUACCGGGCGCUAAUGACGGUACCUGCAGAAUAAGCACCGGCUAACUACGUG